RNAcentral lists this unclassified non-coding RNA (253 nucleotides) under Candidatus Nomurabacteria bacterium. RNAcentral's name for it is "contains 16S-23S intergenic spacer region". It matches the Rfam family "Bacterial small subunit ribosomal RNA", at positions 524 to 776 of the family's 1533-position model. The record is from RNAcentral. Lineage: Bacteria; Candidatus Nomuraibacteriota.
UACGAGAGCCCCAAGCGUUAUCCGGAAUCACUGGGCGUAAAGGGUCCGUAGGCGGCAAGUCUAGUCUUCUGUGAAAGCCUCCGGCUCAACCGGAGACCCGCAGAGGAAACGGGCUAGCUAGAGGGCGUGAGAGGUCUGCAGAACGCAUGGUGUAGGGGUGAAAUCCGUUGAUAUCAUGCGGAAUACCGAAAGCGAAGGCAGCAGACUGGCACGUUUCUGACGCUGAGGGACGAAAGCCAGGGUAGCGAAUGGG